RNAcentral lists this ribosomal RNA (305 nucleotides) under uncultured bacterium. RNAcentral describes it as "bacterial SSU rRNA". It matches the Rfam family "Bacterial small subunit ribosomal RNA", at positions 334 to 656 of the family's 1533-position model. The record is from RNAcentral.
UACCCUACGGGAGGCAGCAGUGGGGAAUAUUGCACAAUGGGGGAAACCCUGAUGCAGCGACGCCGCGUGAGUGAAGAAGUAAUUCGGUAUGUAAAGCCCUAUCAGCAGGGAAGAAGAUGACAGUACCUGACUAAGAAGCCCCGGCUAACUACGUGCCAGCAGCCGCGGUAAUACGUAGGGGGCAAGCGUUAUCCGGAUUUACUGGGUGUAAAGGGAGCGCAGGUGGCAAGGCAAGCCGGAAGUGAAAACCCGGGGCUUAACCCCGCGGAUUGCUUUUGGAACUGUCUGGCUGGAGUGCAGGAGGG